RNAcentral lists this long non-coding RNA (458 nucleotides) under Homo sapiens (human). RNAcentral's name for it is "HSALNT0006629". The record is from RNAcentral. Lineage: Eukaryota; Metazoa; Chordata; Mammalia; Primates; Hominidae.
UGGCGUGUUGAGUUGUUGCUUCCUUCUCUGGGCAGCAGCUCUGUAAGAAGGAAUGUCAGCUUUUACAUAACGUUCCUUUCCGCUUUUGACACACUGUGUGAGGGUCCAUCUUCUUCUGAUCACAGAUGGAGUGGAAUGGCUUGAAGAUGCCUUCUAGAAUCCUAAAGUUGACCUGAAGCCAAGAAGAAAAUUCUGGUGAUGGGAGAAGUGGAGCCACUUAAAUUACUUACAUGAUGAUAAUUAGCACCAUGGAGCCUCAGGUGUCAAAUGGUCCGACAUCCAAUACAAGCAAUGGACCCUCCAGCAACAACAGAAACUGUCCUUCUCCCAUGCAAACAGGGGCAACCACAGAUGACAGCAAAACCAACCUCAUCGUCAACUAUUUACCCCAGAAUAUGACCCAAGAAGAAUUCAGGAGUCUCUUCGGGAGCAUUGGUGAAAUAGAAUCCUGCAAACUU